Molecule: non-coding RNA, 45 nt
Filed under: Schistosoma haematobium
Lineage: Eukaryota; Metazoa; Platyhelminthes; Trematoda; Strigeidida; Schistosomatidae
Source: RNAcentral
AUCCGGCUGAAGAGCCACAAAUAGGACGAAACGAGCGUUCUGGAU